Molecule: ribosomal RNA, 497 nt
Filed under: uncultured bacterium
Lineage: Bacteria
Description: partial 16S ribosomal RNA
Rfam family: Bacterial small subunit ribosomal RNA
Source: RNAcentral
GAUGAACGCUGGCGGCGUGCCUAAUACAUGCAAGUCGAGCGAACAGAUAAGGAGCUUGCUCCUUUGACGUUAGCGGCGGACGGGUGAGUAACACGUGGGUAACCUACCUAUAAGACUGGGAUAACUUCGGGAAACCGGAGCUAAUACCGGAUAACAUUUGGAACCGCAUGGUUCUAAAGUGAAAGAUGGUUUUGCUAUCACUUAUAGAUGGACCCGCGCCGUAUUAGCUAGUUGGUACGGUAACGGCUUACCAAGGCAACGAUACGUAGCCGACCUGAGAGGGUGAUCGGCCACACUGGAACUGAGACACGGUCCAGACUCCUACGGGAGGCAGCAGUAGGGAAUCUUCCGCAAUGGGCGAAAGCCUGACGGAGCAACGCCGCGUGAGUGAUGAAGGGUUUCGGCUCGUAAAACUCUGUUAUUAGGGAAGAACAAAUGUGUAAGUAACUGUGCACGUCUUGACGGUACCUAAUCAGAAAGCCACGGCUAACUACGUG